AUACGUAUGGAGCAAGCGUUAUCCGGAUUUACUGGGUGUAACGGGAGCGUAGACGGCAUAGCAAGUCUGAAGUGAAAUCCCAUGGCUUAACCAUGGAACUGCUUUGGAAACUGCCAGGCUAGAGUGCAGGAGAGGUAAGCGGAAUUCCUAGUGUAGUGGUGAAAUGCGUAGAUAUUAGGAGGAACACCGGUGGCGAAGGCGGCUUACUGGACUGUAACUGACGUUGAGGAUCGAAAGCGUGGGGAGAAAACAGGAUUAGAUACCCGGGUAGUCCACGCCGUAAACGAUGAAUACUAGGUGUCGGGUUUCUAUAGAGAUUCGGUGCCGCAGCAAACGCAAUAAGUAUUCCACCUGGGGAGUACGUUCGCAAGAAUGAAACUUAAAGGAAUUGGCGGGG
This 397-nucleotide ribosomal RNA is filed under the name uncultured bacterium. RNAcentral's name for it is "partial 16S ribosomal RNA". It matches the Rfam family "Bacterial small subunit ribosomal RNA", at positions 523 to 918 of the family's 1533-position model. The record is from RNAcentral.